Molecule: long non-coding RNA, 362 nt
Organism: Quercus lobata
Lineage: Eukaryota; Viridiplantae; Streptophyta; Magnoliopsida; Fagales; Fagaceae
Exons: 3
Source: RefSeq, a predicted model, not a curated record
UGUACUCAAAAUUGGCUUCAAUCUUCAGUGCAAAUUUCGCUUCGACAAGCCAUGGAUGAUGUUGAGCUAUUUGAAGAUUAUGGAAAAUGUAAUGUUCUUAAAAUCUUUUUUGGAAGCGAAGUUAGCUUCACCUUCAGCAGCAUCACCUUCACCAUCAAGCACUGUUACAAAUCUUGACUGAUCUGCCUACAUACAUUGCAACCCCAUGUGUAUGAAGCCAAGUUUAAUGUUGGAGCUUGAAGAAGUGCUUACAUGCAGGAUUACUGAAAAGAAACUUUUUUUGACAAUUAAGCAUUUUGUCCAGCAAUGGAUUGCUGUAAUUUGUUUCACUAAAGCAUUUUGUUGUAAUGUAAAGCUUUAGA